RNAcentral lists this ribosomal RNA (497 nucleotides) under uncultured bacterium. Its description in RNAcentral is "partial 16S ribosomal RNA". It matches the Rfam family "Bacterial small subunit ribosomal RNA", at positions 28 to 507 of the family's 1533-position model. The record is from RNAcentral.
GAUGAACGCUGGCGGCGUGCCUAAUACAUGCAAGUCGAGCGAACAGACGAGGAGCUUGCUCCUCUGACGUUAGCGGCGGACGGGUGAGUAACACGUGGAUAACCUACCUAUAAGACUGGGAUAACUUCGGGAAACCGGAGCUAAUACCGGAUAAUAUAUUGAACCGCAUGGUUCAAUAGUGAAAGACGGUUUUGCUGUCACUUAUAGAUGGAUCCGCGCCGCAUUAGCUAGUUGGUAAGGUAACGGCUUACCAAGGCAACGAUGCGUAGCCGACCUGAGAGGGUGAUCGGCCACCCUGGAACUGGAACACCGACCAGACUCCUACGGGAGGCAGCAGUAGGGAAUCUUCCGCAAUGGGCGAAAGCCUGACGGAGCAACGCCGCGUGAGUGGUGAAGGUCUUCGGAUCGUAAAACUCUGUUAUUAGGGAAAAACAAAUGUGUAAGUAACUAUGCACGUCUUGACGGUACCUAAUCAGAAAGCCACGGCUAACUACGUG